Molecule: non-coding RNA, 30 nt
Filed under: Mus musculus (house mouse)
Lineage: Eukaryota; Metazoa; Chordata; Mammalia; Rodentia; Muridae
Source: RNAcentral
UUAACUACUUGGUCCUCUUAGGGAGUUAAC